This 435-nucleotide ribosomal RNA is filed under the name Triticum aestivum (bread wheat). RNAcentral describes it as "partial small subunit ribosomal RNA". Lineage: Eukaryota; Viridiplantae; Streptophyta; Magnoliopsida; Poales; Poaceae. The record is from RNAcentral.
AUGCUGGCCGCCGUCGCGCACGCCGGCCGCUUCACCUUUCCCGAUCUAGGAAACCAGCAUUGCCGCUCCCCAUCUCUUAAUACAGAGGUGAUGACAAAGGAGGAAGAGGCGUUGUCAAGGUUGGACGAGCUGCUGACAAAGGCACAUCUGUAUUCUGAAUUUCUACUCGAAAAGAUGGACCAUCAGCUACAGAUUAUGUUGGCAGUUAUUCAAAUGAAAAAUAGGGAGGAACAUGUGGAAGAUCUGAAUAAAGGACAUGGUAUAAAAAGGAAAGCAAAGCCUAAACACUACAGUGAUGCAGUUGGGAUCAACUUUGUGAGUUCACUUGCUCUGUUAGAGACCAACCCUGCUACAACCAGUGAAGGAAGCACAUUUCAUAUGUCAGGAACCACACACAUCGCAGGAGAUGUUGUUUCUGUAUGGAAUAGAACGUGA